RNAcentral lists this ribosomal RNA (220 nucleotides) under uncultured bacterium. RNAcentral's name for it is "partial 16S ribosomal RNA". It matches the Rfam family "Bacterial small subunit ribosomal RNA", at positions 524 to 744 of the family's 1533-position model. The record is from RNAcentral.
UACAGAGGUCUCAAGCGUUGUUCGGAUUCAUUGGGCGUAAAGGGUGCGUAGGCGGCGCGGUAAGUCGGGUGUGAAAUCUCGGAGCUUAACUCCGAAACUGCAUUCGAUACUGCCGUGCUUGAGGACUGGAGAGGAGACUGGAAUUUACGGUGUAGCGGUGAAAUGCGCAGAUAUCGGGAGGAACACCAGUGGCGAAGGCAGCUCGCUGGACGUAACUGAC